RNAcentral lists this ribosomal RNA (397 nucleotides) under uncultured bacterium. RNAcentral's name for it is "partial 16S ribosomal RNA". It matches the Rfam family "Bacterial small subunit ribosomal RNA", at positions 523 to 918 of the family's 1533-position model. The record is from RNAcentral.
AUACGUAGGUGGCAAGCGUUGUCCGGAUUUAUUGGGCGUAAAGCGAGCGCAGGCGGUUUCUUAAGUCUGAUGUGAAAGCCCCCGGCUCAACCGGGGAGGGUCAUUGGAAACUGGGAGACUUGAGUGCAGAAGAGGAGAGUGGAAUUCCAUGUGUAGCGGUGAAAUGCGUAGAUAUAUGGAGGAACACCAGUGGCGAAGGCGACUCUCUGGGCUGUAACUGACGCUGAGGCUCGAAAGCGUGGGGAGCAAACAGGAUUAGAUACCCUGGUAGUCCACGCCGUAAACGAUGAGUGCUAAGUGUUGGAGGGUUUCCGCCCUUCAGUGCUGCAGCUAACGCAUUAAGCACUCCGCCUGGGGAGUACGACCGCAAGGUUGAAACUCAAAUGAAUUGACGGGG